ACCUUCGGGUCUAGUGGCGCACGGGUGCGUAACGCGUGGGAAUCUGCCCUUUACUACGGAAUAACUCAGAGAAAUUUGUGCUAAUACCGUAUAAUGUCGGAAGACCAAAGAUUUAUCGGCAAAGGAUGAGCCCGCGUAAGAUUAGCUUGUUGGUGGGGUAAAGGCCUACCAAGGCGACGAUCUUUAGCUGGUCUGAGAGGAUGAUCAGCCACACUGGGACUGAGACACGGCCCAG
This 235-nucleotide ribosomal RNA is filed under the name uncultured bacterium. Its description in RNAcentral is "partial 16S ribosomal RNA". It matches the Rfam family "Bacterial small subunit ribosomal RNA", at positions 82 to 334 of the family's 1533-position model. The record is from RNAcentral.